CGGCAACAGCUCAAAUUUGAAAUCUGGUACCUUCGGUGCCCGAAUUGUAAUUUGUAGAGGAUGCUUCGGCGUUUACGCCGCCCAAAGUUCCUUGGAACGGGACGUCAUAGAGGGUGAGAGCCCCGUGUC
This 129-nucleotide ribosomal RNA is filed under the name Mycoleptodiscus sp. Its description in RNAcentral is "partial large subunit ribosomal RNA". It matches the Rfam family "Eukaryotic large subunit ribosomal RNA", at positions 99 to 227 of the family's 3401-position model. The record is from RNAcentral. Lineage: Eukaryota; Fungi; Ascomycota; Dothideomycetes; Muyocopronales; Muyocopronaceae.